RNAcentral lists this long non-coding RNA (7402 nucleotides) under Homo sapiens (human). RNAcentral describes it as "HSALNT0370690". The record is from RNAcentral. Lineage: Eukaryota; Metazoa; Chordata; Mammalia; Primates; Hominidae.
CUAGUGUUGGAGCCGAGGAAGCCAACUCUGAAACAUUUGGACCUUUGUUGUCUGACAUUGCUUUUGCCACUCCUUCUUCCUUCCUCCCACCUUUGCCUUCCCCACCACCUCCUCCAAACUCCCCUGCCUUCUAUCUCUGGCCCCACUGAUGACCCCUCCAUGUGAGUCGUAGGCUUUUACUACCCAUGAUUUCUUUUCUCCAAGCAAAAGAGAGAAGAGUUUAUUUCAUUCUCAGCAGCAUCCCUGGCCAGCCUCGUCAAAGGCUGUCAAAUAAACACAUUGCUAGGAGGAUCACCUCAACCUGUAGGAACUUCCUUCCUGCCAAGAAGCUGGUUCAUUCAUCACCAAGCAUCAUCAUCAUGGAAUUCUCACCCUGCUGGAGGUUCGAGCCAAGACAUAGAAAGAGGACAUUACCUGGGGCAGGAAUCAAUUGCCUAUCACUGGGGAUGCCUGCAGAUCAUUGUCCAGAGUGGCUGCUGUUCACUGAGUGUUUCCUCUGUGCCGGGCACCUUGCACACCUUAUUUUCAGUCUCCGCAGCUGCCUUGUUGAGGUUGGCUCUCUAUGCUUCUGUUUCACAGUUGGGGAAACUGAGGUUCAGAGAUGUGAAUGAAUUUUCUCAAAGUAACGUUAAGUAUUGUGUUACUUAUGGAAACACCUUUAUUCCACCCUGUAAUCUACUGGAAGCUUCCAUGUCUCAACCACGUGCCAGAAGGUCAUAAAGAAAAGAAAAUGGAAACUUGAAAAUGGGCAGAACAAAUGCUCCUGUUCCCUAAAUAUAUUGCUGGUAUCUAGCGCUGUGUCUGAUUUCCCCACCAUUUUAUUUUUGGCCCUGAUCUCAGAGGCUUAAAGCAUUAAAUCAUCACUAGACAAGGGUGAGCACAGGCUGUUAGAACAGAACAAGUUCAUGGUGCUAACAGACCCUCCCAGCAAAGAUUGUGAUCUGGCACUGUGAGAACAGCAUCUUAUUGUGUGUCUGCAGCCUGAGAAGACAGCACCCUGGCAUGGAAAAGUGUGGCCUGAGGCUCUGGGUUGUUGGGUUCGCUGUAGAGUUUAUUCUCUCAUGUAGUCCCCCAAUCAUCACACCCAUGCCGUACCCUGACUCAUUGGUUAUUGGGUGUAAUGUCUCUCUAUUCAGUAAUGGGGAUUCUUUUCUCUUUAAGUCAUUAGCAACUCAGUGAUAACUGCUACUUCUUGCAAAAAAGCGUUUGCAAGCUCCACUUCUGCCCAUUCAUGGGAAAACACACACCCGACUUCGGUUCAGUACCUAAGUGUUCCAGGCUCUACGCUACACACAGAAGAGGUGCUGUCUCAUCAGUACCGUACCACACUCCUCUGAGUCAGGAAGAAUUAGCCGCAUGUCUAGCCUUCCUAGAGAAAUUAGGAAAACUUCCCAAGAUAGUGCUACUAGCUCAUAUCUGUAGAACUUAUUGCAUGCUCAACUAGCCCUUUUCAACUCCCACAGCCACCCUAAGUGAGAGGUAAGGGUAGGUGUGCCCAUUUUACAGAUUACAUAACUGAGGUGCAGUUACUCAGGAAGUGAGGGAACCAGGAUUCAAGUCAGCCAGUCAGCACCAGAACCCACACACUGAAUCUAGUCCCGAGAUUGGGGUUGGAAUCCAGUCCUUUCUCCCAGUCUGCAGGCCUCCAGUACCAGGAGCUCAGUCGAACAGGUUUUACAAACUCCUUUCAGAGAUCUGGCAUACAAAUGAAUGAUGCAGGCUAAGGGUAUACAAACUUUCUUUUGUUCCUGAAACAAAGCAUUGUCUCAGUGUUUCUUUGCUUUUUUUUUUUUUUUAAUUAGGUAGAGAUGUAGGUGCUGGAAAUACUUUACUGUAUUCUUAGCUCUGUGAAUGCCAGAAAACAAGUAAAUGCAGAUAACAUAGAAGCAGAAUCUGAACUCAGGGAACAGCUUUCCUUCCAAACAGUUUGCCUUGCAUGCAUGUGGUGAACAGGGAACACUUUUACACUGCAGGUGGGAAUGUAAAUUAGUACAGUCACUAUGGAAAACAGUAUGGAGACUCCUUAAAGAAAUGAAAGUAGAACUACCAUUUGAUCCAGCAAUCAACUACUGGGUAUUUAUCCAAAGGAAAAGAAGUCAUUACAUAAAGAGGGCACAUGCACACACAUGUUAAUAGCAGCACAAUUCGCAAUUGCACAGAUAUGGAACCACGCUAAGUGCCCAUCAAUCAACGAGUGGAUUAAGAAAAUGUGGUAUAUGUACACCAUGGAAUACUAUUCAGCCAUAAAAAGCAACGAAAUAAUGUCUUUUAUAGCAACUUGGAUGAAGCUGGAGGCUGUUAUUGUAAGUGAAGUAACACAGGAAUGGAAAAUCAAAUAUAGUGUAUUCUCUUAUAAGUGGGAGCUAAGCUAUGAGGACACAAAGGCAUAAGAGUGAUAUAAUAGACUUUGAGGACUCAGGGGAGAAGUUUGGGAGGGGGUGAAGGAUAAAAGACUACCUACUGGGUGCAGUGUACACUGCUUCAGUGAUGGGUGUCCUAAAGUCUCAGAAAUCACUACUAAAGAACUUAUCCAUGUAACCAAAAACCACCUGUACCCCAAAAAACUACCGAAAUUAAAAAACAAAAAACCAUGAAAUGGAUGUCUCAUCACCAAAAAACAAACAAACAAAAAAAAAAACAAAAGAAGUUUGUCUCGGGAAACAGUUGGGGUUUUCACAAACUUGCUGAGCAUCACUUAAGGCCUAUGCUUCCUAAGGCUACAGGCAAGAAUGUUAGAGACUGUCUUUUAAGUUAUUUAGUUUUUGCAUCUUCCAUUAAAAAAAAAGGUAGGGUGAUAAAUCACAGAUAGAUAAAAAGCUUUUGCCAACAUGAGCUUCUCUCUGCAGCAACUGGCCUUCAGAAGGCAGACUGGGGCAGCCUGCAGAUCUGCCUGCAAUUCCUGGUCCUGACUGUUGUUCUGCAACUGGAAUUAAGGAACCAGACAACGUGCCCAAGAUUUAUGGAUUCCAUUGUUUAUGAUAUGUGUUCCUCACAUAUGUUCCCUCUGUCUCACCCGACAGGGAACACCACAUCACAAGGUCUGUGGGAGUUGGAGAAAACUCUCGCUGACUCCCUGAAUAUAGUCCCAGUGGGAACCACCUUGGGGAGAGGCUCUGUCCAGCUGAACCCUCCAGUGCACAGUAUGCUUGGCUGCAGAGGCUUGGAGUGAGAGAGGAGACCAGGGUCCAGCUUCUCGGACAGCACUCACUGGGGUAGGUUGUGUCUGGCACAUUUUCAGCAACUGCUUUCAAAGUAAUAAUAAUAGGAAUUAUAAUCUAAAAAGAAUGGCUUCCACAUGUCGCUCUGCUUGUUUAAAAUCCAGGUUCACAGCCCUACUUCUUGAAUUCCCAAUUAAGAAGCGUCUGAAGGAAUCCAGUGAUCUCUGUAUUUAACUAUCUUUCAGAAUAAUUUAUCAGCAACUAACUACGACAUUUGAAAAUCACUGAUCUAAAAAUGUCAACAUCCUGUUCACAGACAUUUCAAAGUUUCCUGAAAUAAUAGUUCAAGACUUUCUUUUAGAGUGACUCCCCUAUGAUACAAAGCAAAUGCACGUAUAUGAAAGUAUAUAAUGACCAGAAUAGUCUGGUAAUCCAGUGAGUAUCUAUGAUGUGCUAGGCACUGCACAGAAAAGUUUACAGGCAUUACUGCAUUUAAUCCUUUCUGCAGAUUUUAUGGGGAGAGGGUUAUGAAUGCACCCAUUUCACAAAUUAUAAAACCAUGACUCAGAAAACAAGAGCUGCCGGAGGUCACACAGCUAGUGAGGAACAGAGCUGUGAUUUGGGCCCAGGUUAAUUUUAUUUCCAUUUGAUUCCUUCUUUGAUGAAAACUGGGAGAAAUCAGUGUUUUGUUUUUCCUGAAAAGGAAAUUGAAAUAGGAGAGAGUUUGGGGAUCUGUAUUAGUUUUCUGUGGCUGCUGUACCAAUUUACUACAAGCUUGGUGGCUUAAAACAACAAAAAUGAUGUGUUUUCUCACAGUUCUAGAGGCAAGAAGUCUGGAAUAAGUAUCACUGGGCCAAAAUCAAGGUGUCAGAAGAACUUCACAUCCCCCAAAACCUCCAGGAGAGAAGCCAUUCCUUGCCACUUCCAACUUCUGAGCCUCCAGAUAUUCUUUGACUUGUAUCUGUGUCACGCCAAUCUCUGCCACUGUCUUCACAUGGCCUUCUCUUCUGUGUCUCUCCAAUUUGCCUUUGUAUUUCUCCUAUAAAGACACUAUCAUUGGAUGUAGGGCCUACCUGGAUGAUUGAGAAUGAUCUCCUGUCGAGAUCUGUAAUUAUAUCUAAAAAGGGCCUUUUUCCAAAUGUUACAUGGUGAACAUGUUUCGGGGGAACUAGCAUUCAACCUGCUACAGCGUCCUCUAGCUAGGAAGUGGUAGAAGCAGGACCUAAUGUAGAUCUAGCCACAAUCCCACAUGGAUUGCUUAGACUGCAUCAAUUGUGAAUGACAGACACCCAGUGCAACUUAAGCUUUCUGCAUUGCUGUUGAAUAGGGGGAGGAGGAAAUGGUGGAUACAGAGUCACUGUAGCUGAAGAUGCCAAAGGUAGACAUUUCUAGUUGCAGACAUCAUCUACAUUUUGUGGUCAGGGCUCAAGCCAUCUCUUGGGCAGGCUUUCUUCACCCAGUAGGUGAAAUGUCUUCUGUUAGCUCAACACCCACAGUCCUCUAGUGUGGCCAGUGGAAAGUGACUUCUCUUUCCAUUAACUCAAGAGAAAAAGCCCGAAAAGCUUUGGCCCUGCCAAAAUCACAUCACCCUGGUGAAAUCACAUGAUCAGCCCUAAACCAAUCACUCUAGCCAGGGAGAUCAUUUAUUCAAUAGCAAUAAUAAAUAUAUAUUGAGUACAUUCUAUGUGUCAGGAAUUCUUCAAGAUGUAUAAAAAUACCCCAGCAAACAGAAGACAAAUUCCUACCCUCAUGGAGCUUAUAUUCUAGAGGAAAAUACAGACAAUUAACAUAUAAACAAAUUUUAAAAACUGUCAUUCAAAUUCAGACAGAGAGUAGAGCUAUGUAAUAAAUUAAUUAGGGCAAUGUGCUUAAAAAUGGCCAGAGGUGGUGUGGACUCCUUUAGCCGGUAUGAUCAGUUAAGACCUCUCUGUAGAGGUGGUAGAUGAGGUGCAACUCAAGUCACGGGAGGCAACCGUUUAAAGAUUUGUGGAAGAUCAUUCUAAAUGGAAGGAAUAGCAGGUGCAAAGACAGUGGGGUGGGAACAACCUUAGAGGAACAGAAACAUGGACAGUACAGCUUGACUAUAGUCCAUGAGCAGGAGAGAGUAUGAGAUGGAGUACUUCAGUGGUGAAACUGGGAUCUCAAAACCAAAAUGUGAUUUCCAACCCAUCUGCUCUUUAACUCUUUUCUACACAACCUUGCUCAGGAGAGGUAUGUCUGUCCACCAAGCAUAGGUCUCCUGUGCAUUGUGUCACCCCUCUCACUGCAUGGCUAGAAGAUGUUCUUUGAGCAGCUGGAAGAUUGUAAAUAUGACACCAUCUAUUUGGUGGGUGAUUUUUGCUCCUUCUGGUAUAAGAGGAUAUAAGUGGGGAAAUAGAACAAGAGUUAACAAACUCUGUAAGGUCUCAUUGGAUCUUCACCCUAACUCAAACUUGGUCCAAACAAAACUCUUUGACAAUAUUUAGGUGUGAGUAGGGGAGUUGAUAAAUGAUGUUUUCUCUCUUCUCUUCUUUUUCACUUUUAUACGCCUCUGGGUUGAUGGUUUCUGGCCAAGGCCAGAGGUACUAAAAUACCACAAGAAAGGAGAACUUUGAAGUGAUCAUCUGUUCAGCCAAGAAGGAGGUGGUGCUGCCUGAAGGUUCACCAGGAAUGCGGUCUUCUGGAGCUUUAGACAGAGUUCCUAGGAGGCCCCCAGAGACAGACAGAUGCCUUGGAGUUGAUUUGGAGAAACAUCUGAACUUCUGGAUGGAGUUCUGAGCCGAGCCUGAAACCCUCUGGGAGCCUUCAUUUGCUCCCAGACAAUCCAUGGAAACACCUGUUCCAAGUCUGAGCUGACUGGACCACCGCCUUUGAUUUUGGAAAACUCAGAGACCAGAUCUUGAAUCGUCCUUUCAGAAUGUACUCUGGAAUUCCUUGUUCUUCAGUGCAAAGAUUUAGAUAAAGUUAUCUGACCAUGUGAAUGACAGAUCUGAGAAUGUGAUGACUUUAUUGAUAGGUCCUACUGGACAGUUCCUUGGCCCAGCAGCAUCAGCACCUCCUGGGAUCUUGCUAGAAAUACUAAAUCUCAGGCCCUACCCCAGACCUGCUAUUUUAGAAUCUGUAAUUUAACAAGAUCCCAGUUAAUUAGCAUGCACAUUCCAGUUUGAGAAAAGCGGCACUAAAAAGCUUUGUCAAAUAGGCAGUGUGCUCCCAUUUCUCGGUAUUGUGCCUGUGACAGGCAUCAAUAAUCAACCAGAGAAUCACUUCCUUCUGAGAGCAGAAUAUUCUCAAGUCAUGGUUUCAGGUCGCAGUGACCAAUCAAUGGGAGUUGGAUCAAAAUUAAACCUAUCUUCCAUACUGGUGUCAACACUUGAAGAAAGCUCUUUUAUUUCCACCCAUAUACACAUCAUACAUGCCUGAUAAAUGUUUGUGGAAUGAAUGUGUUUUCCCCUAGCCUUGUUUCCUGUGAUAUUCACACUAUUCCAGUCCAUACCCACAGAAAAUCAGAACUUCACUGGGCAUCUGGGAAGUUCAGCAGCUGUUCUAGGUGUUGGAUUUUGCUAUUGGCCAUGACCCAUUAGAAGGUUGAGGUGAGGUUGGAAAGAUGUUAGGGAUGGAAUGAAGACACUUGGGAACCCAUCUCGCUGUGGCACAUGGACCUCAAACCAUGCAAGUUUUCUUUUUUCUUUCUUUCUUUUUUUCUUUUUCUUGAGAUGGAGUCUUGCUCUGUCUCCCAGGCUGGAGUGCAAGGGCGCGAUCUCGGCUUACUGCACCCUCUGCCUCCCAGGUUCAAGCUACUCUCCUGCCUCAGCCUCCUGAGUAGCUGGGAUUACAGGGGCAUGCCACCAUGCCCAGCUAACUUUUGUAUUUUUAGUAGAGACGGGGUCUCACCAUGUCAGCCAGGCUUGUCUCAAACUCCUGACCUCAGGUGAUCCGCCCACCUCUGCCUCCCAAAGUACUGGGAUUACAGGCGUGAGUCACCAUGCUUGGCCGCAAGUUUUCUUCAGGACAUGGCCCCAUGUAGUCCAGCUCUACAAGGUGGCUGCUGUGUGAACUAGGCUACAUGCCGAAACGGGACUGUCGGGGGAAUCAGCAGGGGGGGCAGACCAACAGCCCUGUAAGACAUAGCAAUAAUGAUUAUAAAUAGCAUCCUUCUGACCGCCUUUUGAUGUACUGUCCAAGGCCAGGUGGAAAAUCUUUCCUCCCCUGCCUUUCCCCACUAAUCACCUUCCCCUCAUUUUUCAAUAAAGAUUCUGAGCCCAGUC